This 75-nucleotide transfer RNA is filed under the name Parcubacteria group bacterium QH_9_35_7. RNAcentral describes it as "tRNA-Val". It matches the Rfam family "tRNA". Rfam says of the family: Transfer RNA (tRNA) molecules are approximately 80 nucleotides in length. The record is from RNAcentral.
GCGUGCCUAGCUCAGCCUGGUUAGAGCACCUCGUUUACACCGAGGGGGUCGUAGGUUCAAAUCCUACGGCACGCA